This 1920-nucleotide ribosomal RNA is filed under the name Pseudomonas putida. Its description in RNAcentral is "partial 23S ribosomal RNA". It matches the Rfam family "Bacterial large subunit ribosomal RNA", at positions 539 to 2453 of the family's 2925-position model. The record is from RNAcentral. Lineage: Bacteria; Pseudomonadati; Pseudomonadota; Gammaproteobacteria; Pseudomonadales; Pseudomonadaceae.
UGAAAUAGAACCUGAAACCGUGUGCCUACAAGUAGUCAGAGCUCGUUAACGAGUGAUGGCGUGCCUUUUGUAGAAUGAACCGGCGAGUUACGAUCCCAUGCAAGGUUAAGUCGAUGAGACGGAGCCGUAGCGAAAGCGAGUCUGAAUAGGGCGAAUUUAGUAUGUGGUCGUAGACCCGAAACCAGGUGAUCUACCCAUGUCCAGGAUGAAGUUCAGGUAACACUGAAUGGAGGUCCGAACCCACGCACGUUGAAAAGUGCGGGGAUGAGGUGUGGGUAGCGGAGAAAUUCCAAUCGAACUUGGAGAUAGCUGGUUCUCUCCGAAAUAGCUUUAGGGCUAGCCUCAUGUGUAAGAGUCUUGGAGGUAGAGCACUGUUUGGACUAGGGGCCCUCAUCGGGUUACCGAAUUCAGACAAACUCCGAAUGCCAAAGACUUAUCCAUGGGAGUCAGACUGCGAGUGAUAAGAUCCGUAGUCGAAAGGGAAACAGCCCAGACCACCAGCUAAGGUCCCAAAGUAUACGUUAAGUGGAAAAGGAUGUGGAGUUGCUUAGACAACCAGGAUGUUGGCUUAGAAGCAGCCACCAUUUAAAGAGUGCGUAAUAGCUCACUGGUCGAGUGACUCUGCGCCGAAAAUGUACCGGGGCUAAACGUAUCACCGAAGCUGUGGAUUGACACCGUUUGGUGUCAGUGGUAGGAGAGCGUUCUAAGGACUGCGAAGCUAGACCGUAAGGACUGGUGGAGUGCUUAGAAGUGAGAAUGCCGGUAUGAGUAGCGAAAGAUGGGUGAGAAUCCCAUCCACCGAAUGCCUAAGGUUUCCUGAGGAAGGCUCGUCCGCUCAGGGUUAGUCGGGACCUAAGUCGAGGCCGAUAGGCGUAGACGAUGGACAACAGGUUGAUAUUCCUGUACCACCUCUUUUCCGUUUGAGCAAUGGGGGGACGCAGGAGGAUAGGGUAAGCGCACUGCUGGAUAUGUGCGUCUAAGCAGUUAGGCUGAUGAUGAGGCAAAUCCCAUCAUCGUGAAGGCUGAGCUGUGAUAGCGAGCGAAAUAUAGUAGCGAAGUUCCUGAUUCCACACUGCCAAGAAAAGCCUCUAGCGAGGAAAAAGGUGCCCGUACCGCAAACCGACACAGGUAGGCGAGGAGAGAAUCCUAAGGUGAGCGAGAGAACUCUCGUUAAGGAACUCGGCAAAAUGACCCCGUAACUUCGGGAGAAGGGGUGCUCUGGUAGGGUGCAAGCCCGAGAGAGCCGCAGUGAAUAGGCCCAGGCGACUGUUUAGCAAAAACACAGGUCUCUGCGAAGCCGUAAGGCGAAGUAUAGGGGCUGACGCCUGCCCGGUGCUGGAAGGUUAAGAGGAGUGCUUAGCGCAAGCGAAGGUGCGAAUCGAAGCCCCAGUAAACGGCGGCCGUAACAAUAACGGUCCUAAGGUAGCGAAAUUCCUUGUCGGGUAAGUUCCGACCCGCACGAAAGGCGUAACGAUCUGGGCACUGUCUCAACGAGAGACUCGGUGAAAUUAUAGUACCUGUGAAGAUGCAGGUUACCCGCGACAGGACGGAAAGACCCCGUGGAGCUUUACUGUAGCCUGAUAUUGAAUUUUGGUACAGCUUGUACAGGAUAGGUAGGAGCCUUGGAAGCCGGAGCGCCAGCUUCGGUGGAGGCAUCGGUGGGAUACUACCCUGGCUGUAUUGAAAUUCUAACCCGCGCCCCUUAUCGGGGUGGGAGACAGUGUCAGGUGGGCAGUUUGACUGGGGCGGUCGCCUCCUAAAGAGUAACGGAGGCGCCCAAAGGUUCCCUCAGAAUGGUUGGAAAUCAUUCGCAGAGUGUAAAGGCACAAGGGAGCUUGACUGCGAGACCUACAAGUCGAGCAGGGACGAAAGUCGGGCUUAGUGAUCCGGUGGUUCCGCAUGGAAGGGCCAUCGCUCAAC